Molecule: RNase P RNA, 403 nt
Filed under: Hymenobacteraceae bacterium
Lineage: Bacteria; Pseudomonadati; Bacteroidota; Cytophagia; Cytophagales; Hymenobacteraceae
Description: Bacterial RNase P class A
Rfam family: Bacterial RNase P class A
About the family: Ribonuclease P (RNase P) is a ubiquitous endoribonuclease, found in archaea, bacteria and eukarya as well as chloroplasts and mitochondria. Its best characterised activity is the generation of mature 5'-ends of tRNAs by cleaving the 5'-leader elements of precursor-tRNAs.
Source: Rfam by way of RNAcentral
CCGGCAAGCCAUCCUGUCGCUGCGGCCCAACCGGGGCCGGAGAGGAAAGUCCGGGCACCGCAGGGCAGUCUGCUUCCUAACGGGAAGGCGCUGUUCCGGCGACGGAACAGCGACCGCCAGUGCCACAGAAAAUAACCGCCGCGCCGGGUGCAAGCCGGGCGCGGUAAGGGUGAAAAGGUAGGGUAAGAGCCUACCAGCGAGCCGGCAACGGCUUCGGCUGGGUAAACCGCAGGCGGUGAAAGCCCAAAUAGGCCGAUACGCUUCCGCGAGGGAGCAGCGGGCGGCCCGUCCGUGUCGGUGGGUAGGGCGAUGGAGCCUUUCGGCGACGACUGGCCUAGAUAAAUGAUAGGACGGCGGGCUUCGGCCCGCCCGACAGAACCCGGCUUAUCGGCUUGUCGGCCCG